Nylanderia fulva is the source of this 998-nucleotide long non-coding RNA. RefSeq lists it as uncharacterized. The record is from RefSeq and is a predicted model, not a curated record. Lineage: Eukaryota; Metazoa; Arthropoda; Insecta; Hymenoptera; Formicidae.
UAUGAUUUAUGUCAAUAAUAUGUUGAGAAACGACGUUCAAAUUCGAUUGUUUUAUUUCUUUUAUGUUCAUAAAUUCUUGUAUUAAGUUUGCAUUUAGUUUGUCCCACAUAUUAUUACUAUAAGAUCUAUCGCACAAUGCCACAGGUAAUAGGCAAUAAGAACAGGAAAUAACGUGAAAGAAAAGACAAGAAAUAUCUCUUCUCUCUUUCUUUCCUACGUUAUUUAAUUCUGUUCUUAUUAUUUGUUGUCUGUAGCAUUGUGCAAUAUAUAGAUCAUAUAAUUAUACCUUCCUACCCAACAAUAUAUUAUGUAUAACUGUUUUAUGUUCAAGAAUUUCGUCUUGGUGGGAGGAAUGAACAUAUUGUAAUGGUUUAAAGAGAGUGAACGCUAGUAUUUGGAAUAGUACAUAUUUGUUGGCAUCUCGUAUGUACAAAGAAAAAUCCGGUUAUAAAAUGUUAAAUUACCUUGGUUGUUCUGAAAAUUCUAGCAUUAUCGUUAAAUAUUUGUGGUCUGUAAUACCGGAAUUUAAAAAGAACAUAUUGAGAGAGAAUGAUUAUAAGACACUUACACAGAAAAAUAAAGAUAAAAUUGAUACUUUAAUUACUAAUAUGUUUCUUUCUACUCUUGCAAGACAUGCUAAGAACACUUUAGUAAGAAAUACUAGCGUCUUUUAAAAUAUAUUACAAAGACAGUUUAAUCAGGAUGACAAAGAUAUUCAACGUGCUUAUUAAUAAUAUUUAUACUGCUAAACCAUUUACCGAGAUACGUGAAUUUGCGAAAGAACAUGUGCCAUCCUUAAUAUUAUAAAUAUAUUGAGAAAAAGUUAGAGACCCGUUAUUAUAAACAGAUUGACCAAUUAAAGUUUUAUAUCGAUUUGUUUAAAUAAGAGUUGAAACCAGAAGGUCAAUGUAUCUACUUGAAUUGAUACGGAUGCAAUAAUAUGUAGUAUAAUGUAUAUCAACAAGUACAACAAUAAAGCACAAAUUUUUAUUAAACAC